This 446-nucleotide ribosomal RNA is filed under the name uncultured bacterium. RNAcentral's name for it is "partial 16S ribosomal RNA". It matches the Rfam family "Bacterial small subunit ribosomal RNA", at positions 338 to 795 of the family's 1533-position model. The record is from RNAcentral.
CCUACGGGUGGCAGCAGUCGAGAAUCAUUCACAAUGGGGGAAACCCUGAUGGUGCGACGCCGCGUGGGGGAAUGAAGGUCUUCGGAUUGUAAACUCCUGUCAUGUGGGAGCAAAUUAAAAAGAUAGUACCACAAGAGGAAGAGACGGCUAACUCUGUGCCAGCAGCCGCGGUAAUACAGAGGUCUCAAGCGUUGUUCGGAUUCACUGGGCGUAAAGCGUGCGUAGGCUGUUUCGUAAGUCGGGUGUGAAAGGCGCGGGCUCAACCCGCGGACGGCACAUGAUACUGCGAGACUCGAGUGAUGGAGGGGGAAGCGGAAUUCUCGGUGUAGCAGUGAAAUGCGUAGAUAUCGGGAGGAACACUCGUGGCGAAGGCGGGUUCCUGGACAUUAACUGACGCUGAGGCACGAAGGCCAGGGGAGCGAAAGGGAUUAGAUACCCUUGUAGUC